GAUACGCCCUCGGGCCAGGCUAGCUGCGAAGGGCAGCUGAAACGUUUGAGCUCACGUUUGGCCUGCAAGCAAAAGGUGUGAAUCAGAAGCAAAACGUGAGCCAAGAACAAUGAGCAUCAGUUUGGGAGAGGAAGAUAGAUACCCUCAUAUCCUGUUGCUUCUGCUUCUCUGGAGAACGCUGACUAAUACCGAACGGCCCCUCUGCGCUUCCAUCAUGGACGUAGGAAGAGCUCCCCAAGGUCUAGCUUCUGUAAGGGGCCUUGUGCAGAGCCCAGAGCACACACAGCCCGUGCUCACCGGAGAGGGCGGCGGGUCCAGCUGCGUUCCUGAAUGCUCGGACGCGUCCAGGUCUGCUGCCCCCACGGCCUCUGCCGCCUCCACAGACCGGCCCUGCGUCCCUCCCAGAUCCCUCCUGGCUUCCCUCAAAUCCUCACCUCCCCCUGCCCUUCCCCAUCCUUCGGCAGGACCACACUGCCCACGGCUGGUCAGCAGCCUCCCUCCCAUAGCUCCCUCCUGAUCAAGCCCUACCUGAUAGCCAUCUUUCUGGGAACUGAUAGGAAUUUUAAUGUUCCAAGCCUUCUGAUUCUUGCUUUUGGA
Suricata suricatta (meerkat) is the source of this 597-nucleotide long non-coding RNA. RefSeq lists it as uncharacterized. The record is from RefSeq and is a predicted model, not a curated record. The transcript is spliced from 3 exons. NCBI's taxonomy places the organism in Eukaryota, Metazoa, Chordata, Mammalia, Carnivora, Herpestidae.